RNAcentral lists this long non-coding RNA (1947 nucleotides) under Salmo salar (Atlantic salmon). Its description in RNAcentral is "lncRNA (ENSSSAG00000092231.1)". Lineage: Eukaryota; Metazoa; Chordata; Actinopteri; Salmoniformes; Salmonidae. The record is from RNAcentral.
GUUCUUUUUCUACAUGUCCGGAUGAUGUUUGUUAGGGGGUUCUCUGUCUUCUACAUAGUUGGAUGAUGUUUGUUAGGGGGUUCUCUGUCUUCUACAUAGUUGGAUGAUGUUUGUUAGGGGGUUCUCUGUCUUCUUCUGGGUUGGAUGAUGUUUGUUAGGGGGUGCUCUGUCUUCUACAUAGUUGGAUGAUGUUUGUUAGGGGGUUCUCUGUCUUCUUCUGGGUUGGAUGAUGUUUGUUAGGGGGUGCUCUGUCUUCUACAUAGUUGGAUGAUGUUUGUUAGGGGAUUCUCUGUCUUCUACAUAGUUGGAUGAUGUUUGUUAGGGGGUUCUCUGUCUUCUGGGUUGGAUGAUGUUUGUUAGGGGGUUCUCUGUCUUCUUCUGGGUUGGAUGAUGUUUGUUAGGGGGGGUUCUCUGUCUUCUUCUGGGUUGGAUGAUGUUUGUUAGGGGGUUCUCUGUCUUCUUCUGGGUUGGAUGAUGUUUGUUAGGGGGUUCUCUGUCUUCUACAUAGUUGGAUGAUGUUUGUUAGGGGGUUCUCUGUCUUCUUCUGGGUCGGAUGAUGUUUGUUAGGGGAUUCUCUGUCUUCUUCUGGGUUGGAUGAUGUUUGUUAGGGGGUUCUCUGUCUUCUACAUAGUUGGAUGAUGUUUGUUAGGGGAUUCUCUGUCUUCUUCUGGGUUGGAUGAUGUUUGUUAGGGGGAUUCUCUGUCUUCUACAUAGUUGGAUUAUGUUUGUUAGGGGGUUCUCUGUCUUCUACAUAGUUGGAUGAUGUUUGUUAGGGGAUUCUCUGUCUUCUUCUGGGUUGGAUGAUGUUUGUUAGGGGAUUCUCUGUCUUCUGGGUUGGAUGAUGUUUGUUAGGGGGUUCUCUGUCUUCUACAUAGUUGGAUGAUGUUUGUUAGGGGAUUCUCUGUCUUCUUCUGGGUUGGAUGAUGUUUGUUAGGGGGUUCUCUGUCUUCUACAUAGUUGGAUGAUGUUUGUUAGGGGAUUCUCUGUCUUCUUCUGGGUUGGAUUAUGUUUGUUAGGGGGUUCUCUGUCUUCUACAUAGUUGGAUGAUGUUUGUUAGGGGAUUCUCUGUCUUCUUCUGGGUUGGAUGAUGUUUGUUAGGGGAUUCUCUGUCUUCUACAUAGUUGGAUGAUGUUUGUUAGGGGAUUCUCUGUCUUCUGGGUCGGAUGAUGUUUGUUAGGGGAUUCUCUGUCUUCUUCUGGGUUGGAUGAUGUUUGUUAGGGGGUUCUCUGUCUUCUUCUGGGUUAGUUGAUGUUUGUUAGGGGGUUCUCUGUCUUCUUCUGGGUUGGAUGAUGUUUGUUAGGGGAUUCUCUGUCUUCUACAUAGUUGGAUGAUGUUUGUUAGGGGAUUCUCUGUCUUCUUCUGGGUUGGAUGAUGUUUGUUAGGGGGUUCUCUGUCUUCUUCUGGGUUGGAUGAUGUUUGUUAGGGGGUUCUCUGUCUUCUACAUAGUUGGAUGAUGUUUGUUAGGGGAUUCUCUGUCUUCUUCUGGGUUGGAUGAUGUUUGUUAGGGGGUUCUCUGUCUUCUUCUGGGUUGGAUGAUGUUUGUUAGGGGGUUCUCUGUCUUCUUCUGGGUUGGAUGAUGUUUGUUAGGGGAUUCUCUGUCUUCUGAGUUGGAUGAUGUUUGUUAGGGGAUUCUCUGUCUUCUGAGUUGGAUGAUGUUUGUUAGGGGAUUCUCUGUCUUCUGGGUUGGAUGAGCUCCAUCGUGGCUGGAGGAGCAAUAGCCAGUGUGUGUGUUUCAUGUGUGGGUUAUAGGAUGCAGUGUUCAGGAAGCUCUAAUGUCAGCUGGGUAGUUUUCCAUAAGGGAGGAAUCUCACCACACAAAGCCACUCUACCAUAUUAGAUGGAGACCCUACAGGGUAUACCUUAGUGUUAAUCAAAGAUCUGACCAGCCCAUCCACUCACCCCCUUACCCCCUGCUCUCCCCCAUCCCCUCUCCCCUCAUCUCUUCAC